UGAGGUGGAGUAAUGGGGCAUGUGUUGAGGAGAUAAGGUGGAGUAAUGGGGCAUGUGUUGAGGAGAUGAGGUGGAGUAAUGGGGCAUGUGUUGAGGAGAUGAGGUGGAGUAAUGGGGCAUGUGUUGAGGAGAUGAGGUGGAGUAAUGGGGCAUGUGUUGAGGAGAUGAGGUGGAGUAAUGGGGCAUGUGUUGAGGAGAUAAGGUGGAGUAAUGGGGCAUGUGUUGAGGAGAUGAGGUGGAGUAAUGGGA
Long non-coding RNA from Astyanax mexicanus (Mexican tetra), 249 nucleotides. RefSeq lists it as uncharacterized. The transcript has 3 exons. The record is from RefSeq and is a predicted model, not a curated record. Lineage: Eukaryota; Metazoa; Chordata; Actinopteri; Characiformes; Acestrorhamphidae.